ACGACGCUGGCGGCGUGCCUAAUACAUGCAAGUCGAGCGAACAGAAGGGAGCUUGCUCCCGGAUGUUAGCGGCGGACGGGUGAGUAACACGUGGGUAACCUGCCUGUAAGACUGGGAUAACUCCGGGAAACCGGAGCUAAUACCGGAUAGUUCCUUGAACCGCAUGGUUCAAGGAUGAAAGACGGUUUCGGCUGUCACUUACAGAUGGACCCGCGGCGCAUUAGCUAGUUGGUGGGGUAAUGGCUCACCAAGGCGACGAUGCGUAGCCGACCUGAGAGGGUGAUCGGCCACACUGGGACUGAGACACGGCCCAGACUCCUACGGGAGGCAGCAGUAGGGAAUCUUCCGCAAUGGACGAAAGUCUGACGGAGCAACGCCGCGUGAGUGAUGAAGGUUUUCGGAUCGUAAAGCUCUGUUGUUAGGGAAGAACAAGUGCGAGAGUAACUGCUCGCACCUUGACGGUACCUAACCAGAAAGCCACGGCUAACUACGUGCCAGCAGCCGCGGUAAUACGUAGGUGGCAAGCGUUGUCCGGAAUUAUUGGGCGUACCGGGCUCGCAGGCGGUUUCUUAAGUCUGAUGUGAAAGCCCCCGGCUCAACCGGGGAGGGUCAUUGGAAACUGGGAAACUUGAGUGCAGAAGAGGAGAGUGGAAUUCCACGUGUAGCGGUGAAAUGCGUAGAGAUGUGGAGGAACACCAGUGGCGAAGGCGACUCUCUGGUCUGUAACUGACGCUGAGGAGCGAAAGCGUGGGGAGCGAACAGGAUUAGAUACCCUGGUAGUCCACGCCGUAAACGAUGAGUGCUAAGUGUUAGGGGGUUUCCGCCCCUUAGUGCUGCAGCUAACGCAUUAAGCACUCCGCCUGGGGAGUACGGUCGCAAGACUGAAACUCAAAGGAAUUGACGGGGGCCCGCACAAGCGGUGGAGCAUGUGGUUUAAUUCGAAGCAACGCGAAGAACCUUACCAGGUCUUGACAUCCUCUGACAACCCUAGAGAUAGGGCUUUCCCUUCGGGGACAGAGUGACAGGUGGUGCAUGGUUGUCGUCAGCUCGUGUCGUGAGAUGUUGGGUUAAGUCCCGCAACGAGCGCAACCCUUGAUCUUAGUUGCCAGCAUUCAGUUGGGCACUCUAAGGUGACUGCCGGUGACAAACCGGAG
RNAcentral lists this ribosomal RNA (1154 nucleotides) under Bacillus pumilus. RNAcentral's name for it is "bacterial SSU rRNA". It matches the Rfam family "Bacterial small subunit ribosomal RNA", at positions 29 to 1168 of the family's 1533-position model. Lineage: Bacteria; Bacillati; Bacillota; Bacilli; Caryophanales; Bacillaceae. The record is from RNAcentral.